AUCCACACUGGAAACCCAAAGGCGCAGGACAUCUGCUCCAUAGCCAGGGGCUUCCUGCCAAAUACGGACAAUGACAAGGUAAUCAAAGAAUUUACUGUAGCCACUUUUAAUGAGGAAUAAUACAUGACAGUACAACAUUUUGAACCUUUUGAUUCUUUCCUCCUUCAAUCACACCCUUAGGGUCAACUACAUUACCCAAAGAUUUGCUCAUUUUCAGACCUUUCUCAUCCAAAACAAAUCCGUGAGUAACGACACUAGCAUACGGAGCCUUCCCUGUUCCAAAGAAUGUCCAAAAUUUUGUAUAUUGAAUUAGUUUCAAAAUAGAUUUGAUUCUCUUAUGCAUAAAUGUCGAAAGAAGUAAAUUUUCACUGUAUAACAAUAAUUGACCGGCCAACUUGUAAAGACUACAGAAUUGUAUAAAGAUUAGAGAAUAUUCUCCCAGUUGGUUGAUCAUAUUUAUAACUUCAAAUAUGUUGUAGUAUAUCAAAAAAGAUAAUUUGAUUUCAGGAAUUUAGACAAGAAUGAGAGGUAGAGGUACAUCAAAAUGUCUUGUCUGUUGCUUAUAAACAUCAUUUAGAUUGGAAUCACAUAAUCAUAAUUGGUCACAUUUCCCUCCAUGAGAACAAGUUAUAUCAAUGAAGGAAAGUGUACGUUUGCAACCUUAUUUCUUAAUUUUUCAGAGAAGAAAUUUCUAAUAACUUAUACAAGAGUAUAGAGCGGCAUAGCAUAACUUUUCCAAGGCAGAAAAAGAAAGGGCAUUCCAUAGUUUACACGAUACCUUUUGUGGCAAUGCAUGUCAACAAAGAACUUUGGAACCAGCCACGAUGCUGAUCUGUACCUUCAAGGUACAAAUCAGCAGGAAAACUAAACCCAUCUCGUGUCCCUAAUACUGCCGCCCAAGAUGAUCCUGAAAUAAGGAGUAAAAUUUUACAAUAUUAUCUAAUAACAAAUUAACCGCACAUGUAUGGCUUUUGAGUAGAAAGAUCUAACUAAUAAGAACUGGAGUAUUUUUUUCUUAAGUAGCUUAAAAAUAUGCCACUGACUAAAAUCUUCACAAGCGACACUACUGUUAACCUUAUAUGUUCUUAGAGGCUGUUUGGGUUCUAAAGAACUAUUUUAGCAUAAUUAAGUGAACCUAAGAAUCCAAAUCCAAGAAAGAAAAAACAUAUUAAGAUAAAAAUGAUAAUUGACAGUGACACUAGCACUACUACAAAACAUGUCAGAAACAUUUAAAUUUGAUAAUUUCAUCAAUGGAGCACUAUUAUACCUGAAUCAAACCAUACAUCCAUUGUAUCAGUCCCCUUUUCAUAGUCAGAUGCAAUUUCUCGAUAUUUAUCAGGAAGCAGAACGUCUACUGCCAUAUACCACCAAGCAUCACUACCCUUUUUGGCUAUUAUUGCUGCCAAACAAAUAAUCAGAAGUAUAAAACCUCAUGAAAAUAUGUAUUCGAGGAUGUACCAAUCCUCAAUUAUGUCUUGGUAGAUUAAAGUGCGAGAGUAGGAUCCAGAAACUGAGCUAGCAGUUUCGCAUAAAACAUCAAAAUUUAUGAUGGGCAAUGGCAUUACAGUAUUGGGCUGUUAGAAGUAAAAACAAAGUCUAAGAAGAAAAUUGAGUCAUAAUAAGUUCUUAUAGUUCUUACACUUGAUGUGGUUUAUGGUGUCAUCAUUCAUAAGAGGUUCUUUUGUUUCCACAUGAUAAAAAACUGGUAUUGGGACACCCCAUGUCCUUUGCCGAGAUAUGCACCAAUCAGAACGGCUUGAAGUCAUUGCAGAUAUUCUAUUUUCAGCCUGUACAGUAGUCCAUUCUCACAAGGCAUCAGUAAAACUAAAUUUAAACUGAAGCCACAUUCCUCUCUCUUUUUGUAACAAAAGUGGUGUAAAUAUUUUAAUCAAGCACCAAGAGUAUACGAUAAUGCAAUUCUAAUAUGAAUACCUGAGGAGGUAUCCACUUUACUUCGCCAAUAGCAUCCACAGCAGCCUGGCGAAAUCCCUCCACUGAUGCAAACCAUUGCUCAGUUGCCCUAAAAAUAGUUGGUUUCUUCGUUCGCCAAUCAUAUGGAUAUUUAUGUUCUGUAAGAAGAGAUGACAUGUUGAAACCAAGUAAUGAUGGGAAACCCUGAUAGGGAUUAGAAUCAUCAUAUUUUCUCCAUUUGGCAGGGGUGGCGGGGAGGGGAGGUGUGAAUGACUUACCAUACGAUUCUUCCAAAAUAAGUGAGAAGUGAUCGUCCAAAUAUUUGACAACAGCAGUAUUGCCAUCCCCAAGAACAUCAAGCCCGCUGAAUUGACCAGCUUCUUCAGUGAACUUCCCAUCAUCAUCUACAGGAGAUAUUAUGGGGAGUCCAUACUUCAAACCAGUCGCAUAAUCCUCCUGACCAUGGCCAGGUGCCGUAUGGACUAACCCAGUUCCUGUCUCAGUUGUAAUGUAAUCUCCUCCAAUAACAACUUGGCACUCCUUCUUAUCAAUUGGGUGGAUGUAGCUGAAGAAAACAAUUGGUUUAAUGCUUAGUUCACGGAUUCACAUCAAGUGACUUAGGUAAAUUACUAAGAGAUAGGCUUUGUAAAACAAUAUACUAAAAUUUACCACAUUUCUAGAUUUCUUCUAACCGAAUAUGAAACCUACAAGUUUUUUUAGGAAGAAAAAUCACUUGACAAGGAAGCUCUCAUUUUCACUGUUCCUUCUCAUUGUUUAGGGAAAGAAAUAAAACCUGCAGUUUUCAAGUUCUGAACCCAACAAUUUCUUCUUGACAACAAGCUUCACACCCCAUUUUGCUUCCAAAGUUGGCACAAGAUCUGAUGCUACUACAA
This 2804-nucleotide long non-coding RNA is filed under the name Cucumis sativus (cucumber). RNAcentral describes it as "long non-coding RNA (CSAT_LNC000951)". Lineage: Eukaryota; Viridiplantae; Streptophyta; Magnoliopsida; Cucurbitales; Cucurbitaceae. The record is from RNAcentral.